AACAGCUCAAAUUUGAAAUCUGGCGUCUUUGGCGUCCGAGUUGUAAUUUGCAGAGGGCGCUUUGGCAUUGGCAGCGGUCCAAGUUCCUUGGAACAGGACGUCACAGAGGGUGAGAAUCCCGUACGUGGUCGCUAGCCUUUACCGUGUAAAGCCCCUUCGACGAGUCGAGUUGUUUGGGAAUGCAGCUCUAAAUGGGAGGUAAAUUUCUUCUAAAGCUAAAUACUGGCCAGAGACCGAUAGCGCACAAGUAGAGUGAUCGAAAGAUGAAAAGCACUUUGGAAAGAGAGUUAAAAAGCACGUGAAAUUGUUGAAAGGGAAGCGCUUGCAGCCAGACUUGCCUGUAGUUGCUCAUCCGGGUUUUUACCCGGUGCACUCUUCUAUAGGCAGGCCAGCAUCAGUUUGGGCGGUUGGAUAAAGGUCUCUGUCACGUACCUCCUCUCGGGGAGAACUUAUAGGGGAGACGUAAUGCAACCAGCCUGGACUGAGGUCCGCGCAUCUGCUAGGAUGCUGGCGUAAUGGCUGUAAGCGGCCCGUCUUGAAACACGGACCAAGGAGUCUAACAUCUAUGCGAGUGUUUGGGUGUCAAGCCCGAGCGCGUAAUGAAAGUGAACGGAGGUGGGAACCUUUCGGGGUGCACCAUCGACCGAUCCUGAUGUCUUCGGAUGGAUUUGAGUAAGAGCAUAGCUGUUGGGACCCGAAAGAUGGUGAACUAUGCUUGAAUAGGGUGAAGCCAGAGGAAACUCUGGUGGAGGCUCGCAGCGGUUCUGACGUGCAAAUCGAUCGUCAAAUUUGGGCAUAGGGGCGAAAGACUAAUCGAACUAUCUAGUAGCUGGUUCCUGCCGAAGUUUCCCUCAGGAUAGCAGUAACGUUUUCAGUUUUAUGAGGUAAAGCGAAUGAUUAGAGGCCUGGGGGUUGAAACAACCUUCACCUAUUCUCAAACUUUAAAUAUGUAAGAAGUCCUUGUUACUUAAUUGAACGUGGACAGUUGAAUGUAUCGUUACUAGUGGGCCAUUUUUGGUAAGCAGAACUGGCGAUGCGGGAUGAACCGAACGCGGGGUUAAGGUGCCAGAAUAUACGCUCAUCAGACACCACAAAAGGUGUUAGUUCAUCUAGACAGCAGGACGGUGGCCAUGGAAGUCGGAAUCCGCUAAGGAGUGUGUAACAACUCACCUGCCGAAUGAACUAGCCCUGAAAAUGGAUGGCGCUCAAGCGUAUUACCCAUACCCCGCCGCUG
This 1234-nucleotide ribosomal RNA is filed under the name fungal sp. Its description in RNAcentral is "eukaryotic LSU rRNA". It matches the Rfam family "Eukaryotic large subunit ribosomal RNA", at positions 103 to 1357 of the family's 3401-position model. The record is from RNAcentral. Lineage: Eukaryota; Fungi.